This 494-nucleotide unclassified non-coding RNA is filed under the name Hevea brasiliensis (rubber tree). The record is from RNAcentral. Lineage: Eukaryota; Viridiplantae; Streptophyta; Magnoliopsida; Malpighiales; Euphorbiaceae.
UCUCUCUCUCUCUCUCUCUCCUACAUUUGUUUAAGAUGUUAUUAGAUAGAAACUGAUUCUUUGAAUCAUAUUUAGUGUUUUCUUGGUGAGAAUUGUGAUUUGUAUUAUGCUUGUCUUCCUUUAAAGUUGAUUAAGAAAUUAAUUUGCUGUGAACAAAAUUUAUUAUAUGGAUUUCACCAUCUGAAUAUGGUUAUUUCUUAAAAAAAAAAAAAUUCCAAAUGCGGUUGUGAUGGGGAGCUCAGUAUCUGAAGUUAAUAACACUCUGUAGACCUAGUUUUGUUUUUCCUUGUUUGAUUUUGUAAUUGGUGUUUUGAUGAUUUUGGUUUAGUUGAUCGGCUUUCUAGGAACUAAAAUUAUGACUAAUUGGGUUUUUCAGCAGUAGCAGUUCUCCAUUUUUAGUGUAUGGAUGAAUUUGGUUUUGUCUGAUUUGAUUUGGACUCUAUAUUGUUCGGCACAGGUGAUCAUUGGUGGUGGUGGUGGAGGAGCUUUCUUUG